AGUGGCUUCUUUUUCUUAGUUGUCUUUUGCCAUUGUGUUCUUUGCAAUGAGAUUUAUUUCAGGUUGAAUUACUUCUUGGUAAAGCAUAUUCAGAUUGGAGUGUACAGGCCUAAGAAUGCAUGCAAGUUGGUUACUGACAUUGUUCUUCACUAUGCGUCAUUGUUCUUUAUUAAUUAUGAUUCCCUCUCAUUCCUGCUGGUUGAUGGUAUGCUUCUAGUUUAGAUUUUUUGAGAUGAAUUGGACUUGCAUAUAAAUUUUAUUGGUAUUAUUCUUCUGCAGGGAAUCAUUUUGAAAGAAAACGGUAAAGUUGGAGAUGCAGAGAGGAUGUUUAUUCAGGUUGAAUUACUUCUUGGUUAAGCAUAUUCAGAUUGGGGCCAUAUCAGUGAUGCCGUAUCUGUUUACGCCCGCCUCAUCUCUAGUCACCCAGAUCACUUCCGUGGUUACUUAGCUAAGGGAAUCAUUUUGAAAGAAAACGGUAAAGUUGGAGAUGCGGAGAGGAUGUUUAUUCAGGUGAGUAUAUGAAUAUUUAUUGGCAUAUGCAUG
Quercus lobata is the source of this 543-nucleotide long non-coding RNA. RefSeq lists it as uncharacterized. The transcript is spliced from 3 exons. The record is from RefSeq and is a predicted model, not a curated record. NCBI's taxonomy places the organism in Eukaryota, Viridiplantae, Streptophyta, Magnoliopsida, Fagales, Fagaceae.